This 320-nucleotide ribosomal RNA is filed under the name uncultured Chloroflexota bacterium. Its description in RNAcentral is "bacterial SSU rRNA". It matches the Rfam family "Bacterial small subunit ribosomal RNA", at positions 28 to 351 of the family's 1533-position model. The record is from RNAcentral. Lineage: Bacteria; Bacillati; Chloroflexota.
GAUGAACGCUGGCGGCGUGCCUAAUACAUGCAAGUCGAACGGAGAGAGUAGCAAUACUGUCUUAGUGGCGAACGGGUGAGUAACGCGUUGGUGACCUGCCCCGAAGAGGGGGAUAACAGUUCGAAAGGACUGCUAAUACCCCAUGACCUCUACCUAGUUAGAGAAGGUAGAAAAAGGAGUAAUCCGCUUUGGGAGGGGCCUGCGUCCCAUCAGCUAGUUGGUAAGGUAACGGCUUACCAAGGCGAUGACGGGUAGGGGACCUGAGAGGGUGGCCCCCCACAAUGGAACUGAAACACGGUCCAUACACCUACGGGUGGCUG